This 460-nucleotide ribosomal RNA is filed under the name uncultured bacterium. Its description in RNAcentral is "partial 16S ribosomal RNA". It matches the Rfam family "Bacterial small subunit ribosomal RNA", at positions 338 to 795 of the family's 1533-position model. The record is from RNAcentral.
CCUACGGGGGGCUGCAGUGAGGAAUAUUGGUCAAUGGACGAGAGUCUGAACCAGCCAAGUAGCGUGAAGGAUGACUGCCCUAUGGGUUGUAAACUUCUUGUAUAAAGGAAUAAAACGAGGCACGUGUGCCUUUUUGCAUGUACUUUAUGAAUAAGGAUCGGCUAACUCCGUGCCAGCAGCCGCGGUAAUACGGAGGAUCCGAGCGUUAUCCGGAUUUAUUGGGUUUAAAGGGAGCGUAGAUGGGUUGUUAAGUCAGUUGUGAACGUUUGCGGCUCAACCGUAAAAUUGCAAUUGAUACUGGCAGUCUUGAGUACAGUUGAGGUAGGCGGAAUUCGUGGUGUAGCGGUGAAAUGCGUAGAUAUCACGAAGAACCCCGAUUGCGAAGGCAGCUUACUAAACUGUAACUGACAUUGAUGCUCGAAAGUGUGGGUAGCAAACAGGAUUAGAUACCCGAGUAGUC